UACGGAGGAUGCGAGCGUUAUCCGGAUUUAUUGGGUUUAAAGGGUGCGUAGGCGGGCUUUUAAGUCAGCGGUAAAAAUUCGGGGCUCAACCCUGUCCGGCCGUUGAAACUGGGGGUCUUGAGUGGGCGAGAAGAAGGCGGAAUGCGUGGUGUAGCGGUGAAAUGCAUAGAUAUCACGCAGAACCCCGAUUGCGAAGGCAGCCUUCCGGCGCCCUACUGACGCUGAGGCACGAAAGUGCGGGGAUCGAACAGG
This 252-nucleotide ribosomal RNA is filed under the name uncultured bacterium. RNAcentral's name for it is "partial 16S ribosomal RNA". It matches the Rfam family "Bacterial small subunit ribosomal RNA", at positions 524 to 776 of the family's 1533-position model. The record is from RNAcentral.